Molecule: long non-coding RNA, 263 nt
Filed under: Pelobates cultripes (western spadefoot toad)
Lineage: Eukaryota; Metazoa; Chordata; Amphibia; Anura; Pelobatidae
Source: RNAcentral
UCCUUACACCUUUCCUAUCUACUGGAUACAGACUUACUGAACCAAAGGGGGGUCAUAGACAAUCAGCGUCAAAUAAGACACAAAAAGGCUACUCACCGCAAAUGGUUUUGCUGAUCCACUUCUAUCUAUCCCACUUCUAGACACCAAGCUGAAAGGGUUAAUGUUGUAAUGGACUCUAAUCCCCUCGGUUCUCGAUCCCUCGGUCACCAUAAUCAAUGUUGAUGGAGAAUCAUUUGUAAGCAAUAACACACGGACAACAGCUU